AUAUACAGAAAAAACUAAAACGUGGGGCAAAAAUACUGUGGACUUGUUGUAGCCAGAUUUUAGUCACUGCAUUCUUUCCAUCUUUCUCUUUCGUUUUCUCUUUUCUACUUCCAGCCAUUACCUCCCCUUAAUUCAGCCUUCAACAACACCCAGAACAAAACCCCCCUGGUUUUUUGUGAGAAAAAAAAGAGGAGUUUUUUGGGAGAGAAACGAAGAGAGAAGACAACACAACAACCGGUAGCUGCCAUUGAUGUGAAGGAGUCGACGGUGGAUCCUUUCUUGGUUGAGGCUUUACAGAACCACAUCUUCCUCACACCAGAGCAGCUUUGACUAUUCCGAAUCUUCAUCGAUUACAGUUCUCCCACUCUCAACUUCCAGCUCAUCCAUUCCGAAGGCUUUUGUUGUAGACAAGCCCACGUUCAGCCAGAUAAGUUGCUUUUAAAACCUGGUUUGCUUUGUGCUGGUUUGGUUUGCCUUUUUAAUCAUUAUGGGUCUGCAGAUUAUGAUUUUAUCUGGAUUUGCAUGUUAGUUGUUGUUUUUUGUUUCCAUUUGUAUGUUUUCUCUCUUUUUUUGGUUCUUUUUACUGUUUAAUGGUUUGUUCGGCUUUUUUUGUUGUUUGGAUUAGUUGCAGUUCUGAUUCUAAUGGUUCUGUUUUUCCUUCUCAGUCUCUUCCUUGACAAUAGAGGUGUCUGUCUUGCUACCAAGGUUCUUAGUUGCUUCCGAGGUCUAUUUUGCGACUUUGUUCCUGUUCAUGUUGGUUUUUAAGUGUUCUCUGUCCUGUGGAUAUCAACUUCUUUUUUUUCUAUUUGUUUUCCAGCUCUUUUUUUGGGUUGUUUCAUGUUUCGCUCCUAUUGGUUGGUUGGGCAGGUGGUUGGUUGUUCUGAUUCUCAUCUUUUUUUCUACUUCCUUCUCAGCCUCGAGCUUUUGCAGGGAGGAGGCUGUGUUGUUAUAAGGAUCAUUGGUGCAUUUUGGAGUUACAAUUGAUUUUAGAACGUUCUUCUUUGGUGCUCUCAAUUGAGGCAGACUGCAGACUUGGAACAGCUUUUGGUGGGGGGGGGGGGGGGGGGAUUCAGAUUCUUCUUGUUGCUUUAAGUUGGUCAGCUAUAGAGGGAUGGAUACAAAGUGGGGCGGGUCGAACGAUAGAUUAGCCAUCGGUACACGCACAUGGUGCCCUUCUGUUUUAGGGGAAGGAAAAAAUGUCAUAAAGCAUGAAACCGUUUUAUAAUGAUUAAUUUAAAGCAGUUCCUAGUUUUCGUUCAAGCCAAAGAUAACGCUAUUGCAGAUACUUAUUUUGGAGAGAUCCAUUUAAGGCGUAAAUGGUGCUUUGUUUGUCAUAGUUUCAGAUUGCGUGAAAUGCAGCCCGGUAAAGCAGCGUGACCUAUUUCUCUUUCUAGCUUUGUGUUCCAAUUUUUUGUGUGGUUGGAUUUGCAAUUUCAGGAACAAUUAGCGUUAAGCCACACGGCUUUGCAGUCUAGAGACUUUUAUCAGUUUAUGAAGGGCUAUGAGUGUUUUUUUUAACCCUGCCCUUCGAGAAGCCUUUUUCAAGACGUCUGCUGCUGCUUCGUCUCAAGCCUGCACACACCAUCAUCUUGGCAAUCUUUUUCCCUUUUCCCUUUGUGCUAAUAAGACUAUCUAUGUAUGUAUGCGACCUAAGAACAUGCCAUGUUAUUUAAGAGCCAUUGUUGCUGUCGUUUGAAGUUA
Molecule: long non-coding RNA, 1701 nt
Organism: Populus trichocarpa (black cottonwood)
Lineage: Eukaryota; Viridiplantae; Streptophyta; Magnoliopsida; Malpighiales; Salicaceae
Exons: 4
Source: RefSeq, a predicted model, not a curated record